CAUAGGUUUAAAGAGACAACCUGGAGAACUGAAACAUCUAAGUAACCAGAGGAAAAGAAAUCAAUUGAGAUUCCGUUAGUAGUGGCGAGCGAACGCGGAGUAGGCCAGUAGUUUUGUUAGAAAAAUUUGAAUAGUUUGGAAAUGCUAACCAUAGAGGGUGAUAGUCCCGUAUGAGUAAUGUCUAACAAAAUUCUUGAGUAAAGCGGGACACGAGAAAUCCUGCUCGAAUAUAGGGGGACCACCCUCUAAGCCUAAAUACUCUUCAGUGACCGAUAGUGAACUAGUACCGUGAGGGAAAGGUGAAAAGAACCCCUAUUAGGGGAGUGAAAUAGAACCUGAAACUGCAUGCCUACAAUCAGUCCGAGCCCUUUUUAGGGUGAGGGCGUACCUUUUGUAUAAUGGGUCAGUGACUUAAUUUAUUAAGCAAGCUUAAGCCAUCUAGGUGUAGGCGCAGCGAAAGCAAGUCUUAAUAGGGCGAUUAGUUUAAUGAAUUAGACCCGAAAACGAAUGAGCUUACCAUGAGCAGGUUGAAAGUUGGGUAACACCAACCGGAGGACCGAACCAGUUGACGUUGAAAAGUCUUUGGAUGACUUGUGGUAAGGGGUGAAAGGCCAACCAAAUUCGUAGAUAGCUGGUUUUCCGCGAAAACUAUUUAGGUAGUGCGUCGAAUAAAUAGAUGUUUAGAGGUAGAGCACUAAAUGGGCUAGGGGGAAGAGAUUCUUACCAAACCUAAUAAAACUCCGAAUGCUAGACAUUGUUCUUCGGCAGACAGACUGUGGGUGCUAAGGUCCAUGGUCGAGAGGGAAAGAGCCCAGACCACCAGAUAAGGUCCCAAAAUCAUGAUUAAGUGUGAAAGGAUGUGGAAAUUCCUUAACAGCCGGGAGGUUGGCUUAGAAGCAGCCAUCCUUUAAAGAUAGCGUAACAGCUCACCGGUCUAAUAGAGUUUCUGCGCCGAAGAUGUAACGGGGCUAAAAUCAUGUACCGAAUCUGUGGCUUUACAAAGUUUUCGAAUUUUGUAAGGGGUAGCGGAACGUUCUGUAAGCCUGUGAAGGGAUACCCGUGAGGGAUCCUGGAGGUAUCAGAAGUGCGAAUGCUGACAUAAGUAACGAUAAACGAAGUGAAAAACUUCGUCGCCGAAAAUCUAAGGGUUUCUGCGCAAGGUUAAUCCGCGCAGAGUUAGUCGGCACCUAAGGCGAGGGCGAAAGCCGUAGUCGAUGGAAAUAAGGUUAAUAUUCCUUAACCAGAUGGUAGUGACGGAUCUUGUAAGUUGUAAGUUCUUAAUGGAUUGAGCUUGCCGCGAAAAGGUUCCAAGAAAUAGCUCCAUCAUUAGACCGUACCCUAAACCGACACAGGUAGAUUAAUAGAGUAUAUUUAGGCGCUUGAGAGAAUGAUGUUGAAGGAACUCGGCAAAAUGCUUCCGUAACUUCGGGAUAAGGAAGACCCUUUUGUAGGCAACUAUAGAAGGGUGGCACAAGCCAGGGAGAAGCGACUGUUUAUCAAAAACACAGGGCUCUGCUAACACGUAAGUGGAUGUAUAGGGUCUGACGCCUGCCCGGUGCUGGAAGGUUAAUGCGGUUGGUGCAAGCUAACUUCUGAAGCCCCAGUAAACGGCGGCCGUAACUAUAACGGUCCUAAGGUAGCGAAAUUCCUUGUCGGGU
Molecule: ribosomal RNA, 1658 nt
Filed under: marine metagenome
Description: bacterial LSU rRNA
Rfam family: Bacterial large subunit ribosomal RNA
Source: RNAcentral